CAAAAACGCCAACCAGACGUGACAAAAGUGUUAUAUAAACAUAAUAAGCCUCCCGACCAAGUCAACCGAAUUGAUAGUUUUCUGAUUUUUACUUUGAUCAAUCCGUUUAAUAUUCACCGGUAAUUUAUUGUACAAGAGAUACUGCCACCAAGCUGUACACAGAAGCAGCAACGGAUACACCCUGUACGUAAGGGACUGUUUUGCACAUCCACCAUCCAAGAACCCAAGCUGAAACAAAACAAGGAAAUGAAAAUUUUGGUUUAAGCUAAUACGAGAUUGCUGUUGGCUUAGUAAUAUCAGUUUGUCGGCGACCAAUGCUAUGGAGAUUAAAGUCGUAAGGAAUCCAAUCAAGUGGACUUGGAAGUUGCAGGCUUUGCUUGAAAUUCGAGUGAUCCAGUGUAUCUGUUUUACUUAAAGAUUAUGCCAAGAACGAACUCGGGACCCGUCCUGUGUUGAGCGACGACUUUAACGCCGAGCUAACGGGGCAUAUUAAAAUCGAUGUGUAAUUAUAUGUUUUCCGCUAAUAUGAAC
Molecule: long non-coding RNA, 531 nt
Organism: Cylas formicarius (sweet potato weevil)
Lineage: Eukaryota; Metazoa; Arthropoda; Insecta; Coleoptera; Brentidae
Exons: 4
Source: RefSeq, a predicted model, not a curated record